GCCCGCCUCCCUCGGGCUCGGCCUUCUCUGCAGAAGCCCCGGCCCCGGGCAGGGAGGUGCGAGGGGAGCCUGGGCAGGUUGGGCAGACUCCCUGGUCAUGGCCACAACCCCCUUUUCCUCAGGGAGAAGCCUGAGUAACCCGGAUGGACCGGAAGCGAUCUCCUUCCCCUCCUGGGGACCGGCAGCCAGGCGGGGGCCCCGCUCACCCCGGUGGCUCCUCGGGGACCCCUCCUGCCCCCAGUUCUGGGGACAGGAAAAUCCUGAGUCCCGGCCCCAUCUCGAGUCAACUCCCCAUCCCCUUGAUCCAGUCUGGGGCCAAAGUUAGGCCCUGGUCCUUGGGCUCCAGGGAGCCGGGCACCGCCAGGGGGGCUCUCCUUCGGCCCACGGGCAGCCCCGCGCCCAGGAAGUCCAGCUCCCUGUCCUUCACCCUCCGCCACCACAGCCGCCAGGAGGCCGCGGCUGCCUCGGGAGCUCACCCUCAGCAGGAGGUGGCUGUUAGAGAUAGGAGGGAGGCUGCCCAGGGGAGAGGGGAGUCUUCCAUCGUGGGCCCCUCCCCUGCAUCUCGGGUGCCUGUCAUAAGGGCCCGCACCGUGAGUCCCUCACACCCCAGCAGGCUCACGGGGGCCCCCGCUUCGGAGAAGCCCCUGUUGACCUCACAUCUGGCCCUUUCUUUCCAGCCACGCUCAUCUCAGAGCCCAUCAAGCCCGCCCGGCAUAGGGCUCCCAUUCCGGUACACUUCCCGGAUACCCAGCCCAGGCUCCCUAGGGAGGGGGGGCACCCGGCACCUGGGCAUCCCCAGGCUCCGGCUGCCAUCUGGAAGGGGCAUCCCGGCCCGGGGGCUAUUCAAGGCAGGAAGGCUCACACUGAUCAGGCCAGGCAGGGGCAACGACUUGUCCGUUACACCGGGGACGCCCACCGAUCCAGCCCCAGCCACGUUAAGUACCGCCAUGGAUCCGGCCAUGGGCCCAGUCGGCUCAAAUGUAGAACCGGGCCCCAUGGAGUCUGAAGCGGCCACUGCAGCCGUGGCCACAGUCACGGAGCUAGCUCCCCAGCCUGCAGCCGUGGCCGAAGAGCAUGGGGUCCCACCCCCAACCAUGGCCGAAGAGCACAGGGUGCCAGCUGUGGCUGAGGAGCACGGAGUCCCCCCCGCAGCCGUGGCCAAAGAGCACGGGGUACCAGCUAUGGCCGAGGAGCACGGGGUCCCACCCUUGACUGUGGCUGAAAAGGAAGGGGUCCCACCCGUGGCCAUGACCAAAGUGGACAAGGUGCCCCCUGUGGCUGUGGCCGAAGAGCACGGAGUCUCCCCCGCAGCUGUGGCCAAGGAGCACGGGGUCCCACCCUUGGCUGUAGCUGAAAAGGAAGGGGUCCCACCCGUGGCCAUGACCAAAGUGGACGAGGUCCUCCCUGUGGCUAUGGCCAAAGAGCAUGGGGUCCCACCCACGGCUAUGAUCAAAGAGGAAGGGCUCCCACCUGUGGCUAUGGUUGAAGAGCACGGGAUCCCACCCAUGGCUGUGGUCGAAGAGAAUGUGGUCUCACCUAUAGCUGUGGCCGAAGAGCAUGGGGUCCCACCUGUGGCGGUGAGCAAAGUGGAUGAGGUCCCCCCCAUGGUCGUGGCCGAAGAGCACGGGGUCCCCCCCAUGGCUGUGGUUGAAGAGGAUGGGGUCCCCCCCAUGACUGUGGCUGAAGUGGACAAGGUCCCACCCUCGGCCAUGGUCGAAGAGCACGGGGUCCCACCUACGGCCGGGGCCAAAGAAGACAGGUUCCCGUCCAGGAGGGUCACAGUCAGCGAUUCUGAAGUGCCACCCACAGCCUCGGCCCCAGAGGAUCAGGACACGGCGAGACCCUGCCCCGGGCCGGAGCCAGCCCCCCACCCAGCCAUAGACCUCACCCUGCACAUCCCACACACCCACACAGCCACAGUUGUGGUUGCCAUAGGCCGGGCCCAAGCCUUGCCAGCCUUGGCCUCGGCAGCCCCGGUCCCGCCUCCGUCCGGCAGCACCACGGUCCGGCCAGGCGGGGUUCUGUCUGCACCGAGGCCACUCCCGGGCCUGGCCCACGCCGUUCCCAGGCCGGACAGAAGCGCCCACCCCGGCAAGCUGGAAGCCCCAUCAGCCGGAGACGCGCCGUGCACCGCGAUGGUGCUGGCCUCGUCCCACACCAUCCUGACCCUGCCCUCCAAAGGCGCCAGGGUUGUCUUCAUGGUGCCGGGCCUGGACGCAUCCUCAGGCUUGCCAGGGAUGCCCACGCCCAGGCCCAGACAAGCCCAGCCCUGCACGGCCAUGGUCUUGGUCAGCCCCCGGAAGGCCGGGCCACACAGAGCCACCGCCCCCCACCUAGUGGAGAGUGUCAAGGCCGCAGCUGCACCCAGGAAGGCCUUCCGGCCCCCGGUGCCGGCCAUCCACCCCCCUUUGCCGGCCUUCCACCCCCCGGUGCCGGUCCUCCUCCCAGUCAUGGCUGACACCGGCCCCCGCAUGUGCACCUCGGCUAGCCCGGAGCCCAAGGAGGAAGCCGAGGCCACUCCCCACACUUGGGCUACCUACACAGCCGCCGACCUGGACGCCCUGGACCUGGCAGUGACCCAUAGAGGGUUCCGGACGGUGCGAAACGAGUUGCGCAUGAAGGCGGAGGGGUUCCCUUUGAGGCUCAGACGGGGUGAGUUCAGGACCCCCCUCUGGGGUCCUCCUUUGAGUGCGGGGGAGCUGUCUGGGAAGGGAGGGAGCUCCCCAUCCCGGGAGCUAUUUGGGCCGGGGCUGCGUGGCCUCCUCCCCAGGAGGCUCAGAGGACACCCAGACUGGGGUGGGGGUGGGGGCAACAUGGUCCUGCCCCCCACUCCUCCCAGCGGUCCCAAGGGCCUGCUCUGGGAGCCUCCUUAACCCAGGAGGCUUGGGCCAGGACAAGGGGGACUCAGGGAAGCCUGUGGCCUCUGAGGUCGUGCUCAGACCACCUGGGAGCUCUUACUAAGCCUCUCCCCUCCCUUGGCCCAGGUCUGCCUCGGACCUCGGGGGCCAGGAGCCUUGGAGGUGAUGGGGAGGUUAGAGCCGGAAGGGUCCAGCGGAGCUGGGGUCUCCCCAAAGGGGGCCAGCCUCUGGGCCUGGGCAGGGCAGGGGAGGGGGAGGAGGGAUGUGGGGCCCCUCACCCUACAUCAUUGUCUGAGCUGCACAAAAGGGGCUGGAAGCGUCUCUGGGCCCCUUGGCCCCACUUGACAGAUGAGCAGACCGAGGUCGGUCCAGGGGAGAGUCCCGGUCUGGAACUGCCCUACCGCCAGCUGGGAGAGGAGGGCAGGGGGGGUUGGAGGAGCCGGUUUCCG
Molecule: long non-coding RNA, 3307 nt
Filed under: Sarcophilus harrisii (Tasmanian devil)
Lineage: Eukaryota; Metazoa; Chordata; Mammalia; Dasyuromorphia; Dasyuridae
Description: lncRNA (ENSSHAG00000012432.2)
Source: RNAcentral